Physella acuta is the source of this 584-nucleotide long non-coding RNA. RefSeq lists it as uncharacterized. Lineage: Eukaryota; Metazoa; Mollusca; Gastropoda; Physidae. The record is from RefSeq and is a predicted model, not a curated record.
ACAACCACAACAAUAAACACAACCACAACAAUAAACACAACCACAACAAUAAACACAACCACAACAAUAAACACAACCACAACAAUAAACACUACCAGGGCAAUAAAUACAACAAGCACACAAAAUACAACCUCAACAAUUAGACCUACCACUACAAGCCCUGUAAGGAAUGAGACCUUUGAGGAGCCACCAACAGCAUUGUUUUGGGCCACUGUGGCCGCAUGUACAACUGGGGCCAUUGCUGCCUGCUUGUUUGGCAUAUUGAUCGUAACCAAAAGGAAAAUACAUCUCUCUCAAGUCAAAGGAGAUGGACAAGAAGGCGAGGCUUCCUUAUCAUACUACACUGGGUAUACGUACAGCUAUUCCUACUCCAGCUACUACGCAACAACACAGGACACUGACAACCAAACUCACGCUGUCACUGAUGGAGAGACUUUCAUCUUCUGAACCAGCUCCUUUUGUUCAGGGUUUUACCAGCGGUUUGACUUGACUUUAAUGUAUUGACCUAACCUCUGUGACCUACACCUGACCUUGAUGUCCAUCACUUGACAUGGAUGUAUAUAACUUGACCUGGAUGUAUAUAA